AGCAGCUCAUUGGGCAUAAAGCGUGCGCAGGCGGUUUUGUAAGACAGAGGUGAAAUCCCCGGGCUCAACCUGGGAACUGCCUUUGUGACUGCAAGGCUGGAGUGCGGCAGAGGGGGAUGGAAUUCCGCGUGUAGCAGUGAAAUGCGUAGAUAUGCGGAGGAACACCGAUGGCGAAGGCAAUCCCCUGGGCCUGCACUGACGCUCAUGCACGAAAGCGUGGGGAGCAAACA
Molecule: ribosomal RNA, 230 nt
Filed under: uncultured Alicycliphilus sp.
Lineage: Bacteria; Pseudomonadati; Pseudomonadota; Betaproteobacteria; Burkholderiales; Comamonadaceae
Description: partial 16S ribosomal RNA
Rfam family: Bacterial small subunit ribosomal RNA
Source: RNAcentral